Molecule: ribosomal RNA, 467 nt
Filed under: uncultured bacterium
Lineage: Bacteria
Description: partial 16S ribosomal RNA
Rfam family: Bacterial small subunit ribosomal RNA
Source: RNAcentral
GACGAACGCUGGCGGCGUGCUUAACACAUGCAAGUCGAACGGUGAAGCUCCAGCUUGCUGGAGUGGAUCAGUGGCGAACGGGUGAGUAACACGUGAGCAACCUGCCCCUGACUCUGGAAUAAGCGCUGGAAACGGCGUCUAAUACUGGAUACGAGAAGGGUCCGCAUGGGCACUUUCUGGAAAGCUUUUCGGUUGGGGAUGGGCUCGCGGCCUAUCAGCUUGUUGGUGAGGUAAUGGCUCACCAAGGCGACGACGGGUAGCCGGCCUGAGAGGGCGACCGGCCCCACUGGGCCUAGGACCCGGCCCGAACCCUUCCGGGGGCCAGCGGUGGGAAUAUUGCACAAUGGGCGAAAGCCUGAUGCAGCGACGCCGCGUGAGGGAUGACGGCCUUCGGGUUGUAAACCUCUUUCAGCAGGGAAGAAGCGAAAGUGACGGUACCUGCAGAAGAAGCACCGGCUAACUACGUG